GACAAUUGUUGCAUUAGGUAUAGAAUUUAGGGAAGUAUUAAAUUGUUUCCAUACUAUCUUAUAAGAAUUUACAUACAUGUAACUACAUGAACUAUGAAAGGUAAUUUACUAAUAAUUCAAUAAAACUAGUUAGUCAAUCUAAGAAACAAUUUCUGACAAAUGAAAAUAUUAUUAUGUUUAUCAAAUGGCCAAGUACAUUUGUAAUCUUCUUGAUUGUCUUCAAUACUGAUGACCUUUUAAUACAGAAGUAAUUUUAGACUUCUUCUUCGCUGAUGAGAAAGCCUUGC
RNAcentral lists this long non-coding RNA (287 nucleotides) under Mytilus galloprovincialis (Mediterranean mussel). The record is from RNAcentral. Lineage: Eukaryota; Metazoa; Mollusca; Bivalvia; Mytilida; Mytilidae.